Molecule: ribosomal RNA, 253 nt
Filed under: uncultured bacterium
Lineage: Bacteria
Description: partial 16S ribosomal RNA
Rfam family: Bacterial small subunit ribosomal RNA
Source: RNAcentral
UACGAAGGGGGCUAGCGUUGCUCGGAAUCACUGGGCGUAAAGCGCACGUAGGCGGCUUCUUAAGUCAGGGGUGAAAUCCUGGAGCUCAACUCCAGAACUGCCUUUGAUACUGAGGAGCUCGAGUCCGGGAGAGGUGAGUGGAGCUCCGAGUGUAGAGGUGAAAUUCGUAGAUAUUAGGAAGAGCGCCGGUGGCGACGGCGGCCCACUGGUCCGGUACUGACGCUGAGGUGCGAAAGCGUGGGGAGCAAACAGG